AGAGAAUCGUUCCGUCAGUCGGGUCUCGGCCGCCGUCAACGUCAAUACGACGGCGCACGAGUUCAUCGUCUCGGCUCGGGUGCACCGAGCCACCUCGCGUGAAUAUCGUAGCGGAAGUGUCCGAACCGUGCGUCAGUGUUAAUUUCUGUGAACAGAUUCCGGACGAUCAUGUGAGAUUCGGUGUGACCUGGUGAAUCGCGAGCGGCGAAGUGAGCCGGGCCUGAGGCGAGCCGCUAACAUCCAGUGAGCAGCAAAACCGUCCCCACCCCGAUCCCCUAGCGAGUCGAACAGGUCGCGUGUCGUGGGACAUGCUACCUGUUGUCUAACGAAUUCUCGUUCUCACGGAUUUUCCACCAUACCCAGUGCCAAAGCAAAUUCUCCAGCGAUUUUCUGUGAUCGGAGUGCACUGGAAGACGUCUGAGAAGCCUUGAAUCGUUUCCCAGCUUCUAUCAGUGGACAAACUGAGUCAAACAUGGACAAACUGUGGUAAUAAGAGAAUUACACAGGAGAAAAAUAUUCUGUGCGUGAAUCCUCGUGGAACAAUAGUUGGUUUAAAGUGAAAGGAAUGCCUCAAACAUCGUUAAACCUCGUCAAACACGCUCGAUUUAAGUCUAUUCUCCCUGAGAAGAAUGAUGGGAACACAUAGUUCGCAGUAAUUCGAGGAAAAACGAUUAGACAGAAAAUAAUUAAACUUGAAUUGUGACAGUAUCUUCAGUUAGAGACUAACUAAUGGUAGAUUCAGUGUCUGUAUCAGUCUCCUGAUUAAUUUGCGACGAUUAACUAAGUGUCGGCCAUUUUUCCACGGUUUCCGGCCACUUCUCCGACACAAGAACCACUGGUCCACUCGAGAGCAUCAAUCAAAACGUUGCGGACCGCGGUUUGGCUCGCCAGUGACAGAUGUUCCCAGGCAAAGUUCGGUACAGAUGGUCUUGAAACUCGCAACAUCAAUCCUGAUUGGGAUUUAAAGGAGUCCGUGAACUGUGGAAUAAGUUCAAUGAUCCUACAACUUAUUUAAACUUUAAGUGAAUGUCAAAGAGCUGUCGAAUCUUCAAACUUCCUAAUAAAAUCUCGUCAUUUUUGAGGAUAGCCUGAUAGAAAACUUGCGAAAGCUUCUACUGCAACCAGGAGAGUCAGCUGAAUCAACUCAUCCUUCAUUAAGCACUCAGAAACAUCUUUGAAAUUUUGUACGUGAACAAUAGAAGGGCCUACAACAUUAUCGUAUAGUACAAACGUCACUGAAAGUCACUCUCAGCAUUUCCAUACUGCGCGAAGAAUCUUUAAAGAGUGGUUUGGAACUUCGAGGAUCCAUCUGCCAAUCUCGAAGAAGACGAUGAAGAAGUAAAAAAGAAGUAGAAAGUCUCUUCCAAUCUGUAUUCGCGGUUUAGACGAAUCAAAUUUUCUUCAGCCACGAGGAACAAAUCCUUAGACAGAAGCUGCGUUCCUUGAAAUAUUUGGCAAAACUCUGACAUCCAGGGAGCCUAAUCCCAAAGCAAACUGCGGGCCCACAGCAACAUCAAAGCAUCACAAGCGAUUUGCCAAGUAGAGUUAAAACAGCGGCGAAGUUUCUGGAAGUUCAAUUUCCGGAAAUUCAGUUACACACCGGGGAAAGAACGGCAACUCCACGUUGAGGGAACUUCGAGCUUCCACGAACUCAAUAAGGGCGAAGCAAGUAAAGCACUAAGACGAGCUAGUGGGCGACAGACUCCUGGACAGUUUUUGCUAAGACGAUGGUUCUUGGCUAACAAGAACUGGGACGCAACGGUGAAUCCAUGAGGCUCUUAAAGGUCUCUGGAGAUCUGGGGAAGGGGAAGCGAUGAAGACAAGGUCGUUGGGAGAGACCCACACCAGUGUUAAUUAAAAUAAGCGGAAGAUCCUCCUUUAACAAGGCAGUACAUGAUAUCCUCUAUCCAGUUCUAGUAGUCCCCGAGGAUUCCUGAAUCCGCAGGAGACUAUUAAGACCCGACCUAUCGCGCCUAAGCUCCAAGUACAAGGUCUACAAUUUAAUCACAGGCAACAGACUAGGCUGCCCAUAAUCUAGGUCGAAUCUGCCAUCUAAAAAACAGGAUCCAACAGGAAUCCAAGCUCAGAGCUAGACAAUCAGCUAACUUGGACGAAGUCUAAACACUGAAUAGGUACUGAGCAAAGACCGAAGAUUAUCCCAAUCUACCACAUCCAUCAUCUAAGAUUUAAGGUUCUAGCUUAUAGAUACCAUAAACCUUAUAGAUAACCUCACCCAAUUUAAAUCAACUGUACACUCGAACCAGAAGCCCUAAUCAAAGACUCCAGUCUAGACUACCCUCAUCUAGUCUAUCAUCCAAAACAGAUUCUACUUGGAGUUUCACCCCAGUGGCAAGCUACUUACCAGCUAGACAGAAUCUAGGCCAAGCCUAUCAUCAAGAAAAAGUGUCUAGCGUUGGUCUGGGCUAGCAGAGGGCCAUGUAGCCCACGAAAUCUGACUGAGGAAGGCCUGGCUGGAAUCCGCAGUGAGAGGAAAAGGCGCGAGGAGAACCUGGUGUAGCCGGCCCUGGAUGUUUUGACGCUAAGUGGCGCUAGGGUGCCGAGGUGGGGGGCGCGUGGUCUUGCUGCCUGCCGU
Non-coding RNA from Nomia melanderi (Alkali bee), 2593 nucleotides. Lineage: Eukaryota; Metazoa; Arthropoda; Insecta; Hymenoptera; Halictidae. The record is from RefSeq and is a predicted model, not a curated record.